Molecule: long non-coding RNA, 869 nt
Organism: Canis lupus familiaris (dog)
Lineage: Eukaryota; Metazoa; Chordata; Mammalia; Carnivora; Canidae
Exons: 3
Source: RefSeq, a predicted model, not a curated record
CAAAACAGCCCCCCAACUUCAGUGGUUGAGAGCCACUGAAUUUGACAAUGAGGCUGGGAGGAGAGAUGGCAUUUGAUACUCUGGGUCAUCCUAGGUCCUGCACCACCUGGGAGCUCAUCAGACUUGCAGACCCCUCACCCCACCUGAAGUGGGAUGCUGGUUUUCACAAGAUCGCUGUGUGAAUGUUUGAGAAUAUGGCCAGGGCACCGGUGUGGUGUCCCCUGGAAGCAGUUUUAUUGAAACAGCAAUUCACCAUCUGCAUCCAGACAACAUGAGAUCAGAGCCAGAGGUCAGUGUGGAAGGGACGUGAUGGUGGGCGGUGUCAGAACCUCCCAGACAAGGACCCAAGGUGGCUGGGUUCCUUACAGGAGAGCUCCACCAGAUGACUGCAGCUCAAGUACUCCUGAAGUUCGGCCUUUGCUGCUGCGUAGAAUAAACCACAUCUCCAGCUGACACAGCAGCUUUACCGGAAAUCCCAGGAACUUCUGGAGCUCUGUGCCAGAGAUGAAGACAAAUACCAAAUACAUAGUUCUUGUAAAUCGUAAUAUCACAAAGCAACUGACAGGAUGAAGUUUGCAAUGUCUGGCAUCCAAUACAAAAUUUCCAAGUAUGCAAAGAAGCAGGAAAACACAAUUCAGAAGUCAUGGCCAAGUAGAAAAAUACAAUUCUAACAAGGCGGGGGUGGGGGGGAAUCCAUCAUUCAAAGCAUGGCAAGAAAUGACACAGAUGGUAGUAUUAGGAGAUGGGCUAUGAAGAUGGUUAUUGCAUUCUGCUCGGGACGCUGGAGGGAAUAUCAGAGACACAGGAGCUGUAAGAAUGUCAGAUGUGUUAAGUAGAGACACAGAAGCUAUAAUUAAGACCUAAGUCAA